UGGGAGGAGAAGUGGCCAUUUUUAACUGGAAUUGCAGCCACUGGUUUCCACUUGUUCUGUUUUCAAUUGUCAAAGGGAUUUGAAAGAUGCAUCCACAACAUCUCAGUCCUUGCAGUCCUGCUCACCAGCAAGCAGAAAGCUGACUGCCUUGCUCAGAGGAGCCUCUGAAGGAGCACCAGCAUUCAAAGCAGCUCUCCAGCACAUGGCACUGUCAUCCCAAAAAGAGAUUUUCAAGCUCAUGGAAGAACCAUGGGAAGUUCUGAGGACUCCACAGCUCUGCUGGAGUCCAUGGGAGGCUCCCUGAGUUCUUAUAUGUUGAACUGGGAUGGAGUUUAAGUACUUCCAGUCCACAGAAUCAAAAUCAAAUUUCUCCCAGAUAAGUGA
Pipra filicauda (Wire-tailed manakin) is the source of this 384-nucleotide long non-coding RNA. RefSeq lists it as uncharacterized. Lineage: Eukaryota; Metazoa; Chordata; Aves; Passeriformes; Pipridae. The record is from RefSeq and is a predicted model, not a curated record. The transcript has 2 exons.